UGGUGUUUAGGUUUAGGGUUGUUCCUUCUCUUUUUUUUUUUCCAAUUGUGAUCGCAGUUUAGUUAUAUCCAAGCCGAUACUGGGUUCUUUUCUUUCUUCUUCUUUUCUUUUGAGGGUUUGAGUUUCUUUUUUAAAAACAGAGCUCCGAUGAUGAGCAAAAGAGAAGAUAUAAUAUACCUUGAUGUCGUUCCAAUUUCUGAAGCUUUACAGCUUUGAAUGUGUGGAAUUGAAUACGAAACUCUGAGGAGCUAGCUUUGUAGUCUGUACGUUUUCUUGGGCUGAUUGUAAAAAUCUCUGUGAAUGAGAGUUUCCUUAUUAACUAUACUAAGUCAAGACGCUAGGGAGAUUGAUCAAGUGUUUUUAACCCAAUGCAGCAAUUUCUGGAACAAAAUAAUCAAAUUCCACCUGCUUCUCGAGACAUUGAAUACGUUUUUUUGGGUUAGUAUGCUCAAUUGCUAAUUUAAAGGAAAAAUGAACCAAUUUUCAUUUUUCGUUUUCAGCGAAGCAGACAGGUGCGAGGCAAGACUGGAUUGCUUGAAUCUCUAGCAUUUCAGGUUAGGGAUUAAUCUGCUAUUAGAAUAUACAAUUUUCUAGUGGCAGGGCCAGAUUUCUAAGCCCUUUCCGUUUGAUUUUGUACUGCCUAUUCAUUUUCCUGCUACUCAAGUCAUCACGGUAGAUGCGGAAAUUCAUAAUUUCAGAUACAAUCGUUAAAGCGAUCAAGUGAGAUGAUACAAAUGAUGCCUAUGUUCCACCGGAAAAGAUGUACCAUGGAUAAUAUGAAGUUAGCCUGAAUAUAGUUAAAAUCGGCAACUAGAGGCUACCUACUUGUGGCUUGUCUCUGUGAAUUGUCUCUGACCUUUGUCCUUUAUUGUUUGCUUGAAAUUAUAAAAGGUAGCCACGGUUUUCGGUACAUGCUCUGGUUAGAAAAUCAACAUCAUAUAUAAAUUUGUGGCAUCACAUGAUUGGUUAAUUACUUUUGAAAAGCAACAUUCAUGUUGGUCACGUAUAAAUUUGUGGCAUCACAUGAUUGGUUAAUUACUUUUGAAAAGCAACAUUCAUGGUGAUUCACUGUAUUCGGUUGAUGUUUAGGAUGUGGG
RNAcentral lists this long non-coding RNA (1097 nucleotides) under Populus trichocarpa (black cottonwood). Its description in RNAcentral is "long non-coding RNA (PTRI_LNC000994)". The record is from RNAcentral. Lineage: Eukaryota; Viridiplantae; Streptophyta; Magnoliopsida; Malpighiales; Salicaceae.